Cyanistes caeruleus (blue tit) is the source of this 2029-nucleotide long non-coding RNA. RefSeq lists it as uncharacterized. The record is from RefSeq and is a predicted model, not a curated record. Lineage: Eukaryota; Metazoa; Chordata; Aves; Passeriformes; Paridae.
ACAUCACAGCCUAACAUUACCCAUCCAUUUAGCCAUUGUUAUUAGACAGUAAAUGUUACCACUCUUAUUACUGGAAUAGCCACAGACAUAACAAUGUUAGAGUAUCCUAAACCAAAUAUUUUUGGAUCUAGGGAUUUGAGACAUUUUUUAAAUGUAUAAGGGAAUAAUACUUAGGAGGGUAGUGGUAUUGCUUGUACAUAACCUACACUUGAUGAUGUGUGUUGUACUGUUCCAGGCAGAACAGCUUUACUGAACUCAGUGAUCCAUCUUUGAUUUUUGUGAUUCUGUCUUUCCUUCCACACAUUCUCCUUUCAAUUUAUUUAAAAAAAUAAUACCUGAUUUAUUUAAUUGGAACGUAUUCCUUUAAUUAAACUUGGAAAUACUGUUGAGAGUGGAAAUACUCUUGAGAAAAAUACUAACUGUAUUUCCUAGAUUAGCUUAUUACUUUUUAUGGGAACUUGCAAAAGAGGAAAAAAAAGCUAACUAACAACCAUUUGAAAUGAAAUCCCUUAGUCUUCAUGGAUAAGUAUUUUCCUGUAAAUAUUUGAUUCUCCAUUUACCCACUGUAUGUCCAGUAAAAACAAGGGAUGGAAAGUGGCCAUUUCGGUGACCUUGUGUCCCUCCCUUAGAGGAAGGCAGCUGACAGAAUUGCUUGUGAAUUAUUUGAUGAGGAAAGUUACAGUGUUGCACAACCUUUGUAACCAGGUUUGGAUAAAAUAAGCAAGAAGGAAAUACAUAAAGGAGUCUGCUGCCUCAACAAAGGCAUGUGGAUGUAGCUGUUGAGUAGAUCUCUACCAUUUUAGAUCCUCUGUGGUAUCAGCCUUGCCUCCAGCCACCACUCCAGAAGUAACCAAUAUUUCCAUACAUCUUACAGCACAUGUUCUGUGUGCACAUGAAUAUGCCAAGUAUCUCAGAACAUCUCAGAUGACACCAGAUGUUUGACUUGGAAACUGGGGACCACCCUUCACACCUGCAUGCUUGUGAGCCUGUUGAAUCUGAACUAAAUAAAUACACUACAAGUCUCUCUUACUGUGCAGGCAAUGUAUACCCAACUUCAGAAUCAGUCUUUUUAUGCUUCUUUAAGAAUAAUUCCCUCACUGCAAAGCUUUAGACUGAUAUUCUUUAUCUUCUCUUGUUAUGAGAUGUUAAAGACAAAAAUUGCAUAAUAACAUAAUGAUAUGUUAAAGCAGAAAUGCUUUGGAAAUUGAUAUCCAUGCUCCUUAAGCCAGCACUUCCCUUCAUUGCUUCCAGUUUUCUCAGCUGCCAAAGAGGACAGGUUUUUUUUUACCUCCUCCCCAUUUUUUCCAUAUGCCUGUGCAUUACACUAUCUAUAGGGUGACAAAUUUGGAGUGCACACAAAGAAUUAACAUAUUUAAUUUUUAGAAAAUACACACACAUAACAAUUCUUUGUUUGAUUUAGAAGAGUGAUUAUAGCCAAAGUGGCAUUAUACCAAUUACUAGCUCUUUCCCAGAAAAAUUAACAAUAGAUUUAAAUCCAAACUGCUAGAUGACCUGGGAAGCUCACUGUUGUGAAUGUGGCUCUAGAAUUAUUUUCUUUUUGACACCAUACCUCACUGGAGAAGUUAAAGUGCUGCUAUGUCAUGGAUGUUGACAUAAGUGGAAAAAUUAAAAAGAAAAAUUAGUUUAUGAAACAAGUUAUCUGGCAUUUAAUGGUGAAUGGUGGAAGGUUAAAGAUGUUAAGAUCAUAGCUGAUAACAGAAAACUAGAAAACAAAAGAAGUAGCCUAUGACCUAUGGCUUUCAGGCAUAUAGGAAAAUAAACAUCUGACUUGAAAGGUUUAAUCCUUAACCCCUUUACAUUUUGCAAGGGAAGCUGCUUAUAGUUGGACAUUUUGCAUUUCCACUCAACAGGCCACCAUGCUGGCAUACAGUGUCUGAAUCAGAAAUAUGGAUUCUAACCAAAAUGUACUGCUGAACAUGAGGAUCCUCGACUCUGCUCAGCACACAUCCACAUGGCAAACGAUGGCUCCAUUCUGGUCAACAGAAAAAUGAAAUAUUUGCUGUAUAGG